RNAcentral lists this ribosomal RNA (492 nucleotides) under uncultured bacterium. Its description in RNAcentral is "partial 16S ribosomal RNA". It matches the Rfam family "Bacterial small subunit ribosomal RNA", at positions 29 to 507 of the family's 1533-position model. The record is from RNAcentral.
AGUGAACGCUGGCGGUAGGCCUAACACAUGCAAGUCGAACGGCAGCACAGUAAGAGCUUGCUCUUACGGGUGGCGAGUGGCGGACGGGUGAGGAAUACAUCGGAAUCUACUUUUUCGUGGGGGAUAACGUAGGGAAACUUACGCUAAUACCGCAUACGACCUACGGGUGAAAGCAGGGGAUCUUCGGACCUUGCGCGAUUGAAUGAGCCGAUGUCGGAUUAGCUAGUUGGCGGGGUAAAGGCCCACCAAGGCGACGAUCCGUAGCUGGUCUGAGAUGAUGAUCAGCCACACUGGAACUGAGACACGGUCCAGACUCCUACGGGAGGCAGCAGUGGGGAAUAUUGGACAAUGGGCGCAAGCCUGAUCCAGCCAUACCGCGUGGGUGAAGAAGGCCUUCGGGUUGUAAAGCCCUUUUGUUUGGAAAGAAAAGCAGCAGGUUAAUACCCCGCUGUUCUGACGUUACCCAAAGAAUAAGCACCGGCUAACUUCGUG